Molecule: ribosomal RNA, 259 nt
Filed under: uncultured bacterium
Lineage: Bacteria
Description: partial 16S ribosomal RNA
Rfam family: Bacterial small subunit ribosomal RNA
Source: RNAcentral
UGGCGGACGGGUGAGUAACGCGUGGGUAACCUGCCUUGUACUGGGGGACAACAGUUAGAAAUGACUGCUAAUACCGCAUAAGCGCACAGGACCGCAUGGUGUAGUGUGAAAAACUCCGGAGGUAUGAGAUGGACCCGCGUCUGAUUAGGUAGUUGGUGGGGUAAAGGCCUACCAAGCCGACGAUCAGUAGCCGACCUGAGAGGGUGACCGGCCACAUUGGGACUGAGACACGGCCCAAACUCCUACGGGAGGCAGCAUG